AUGAAGAAAGCGAUGGUGCUGCUGGCGACGGAGCCGGCGGAGAGGGACGCGAAGCUGGCGAGGGAGGCCCUGGGCAGGCGGGGCGACGACAGGGACGCGUGGGUGCUCAUCGAGGCCGCCUGCGCCGCCACGCCGGACCACCUCCUCAGGAAGGUGGGCGUCGCCGCCUGCCCUGCGUUCCAAGAACCGCUCAGGAAGCUGCUGGUGAGCCUGGUGAGGUCGUACCGGUGCGCGGAGGGGAGCGUGGACAUGGCCGUGGCGAAGCAGGAGGCCGCGCAGCUGGCGGAGGCCAUCCGGAGGAAGAAGCAGCCGCACGGCGGCGAGGUCGUCCGGAUCGUGAGCACCAGGAGCAAGCCGCAGCUCGCCGCCACGUUCCGGUGCUACAAGGAACAACAUGGCAGCGACAUCGAAGAGGACAUGAAGCAGUACAGCAGCAGCCAGUUUGCGAGGAUGCUCAAGAUUGCUGUCUGGUGCCUCACAUCUCCUGAAAAGCACUUUGCAGAGGUUAUCAGGUACUCCAUCUUAGGACUUGGAACAGACGAGGACGCGCUCACCAGGGCGAUCGUGUCCAGGGCCGACAUCGACACGAAAAAGAUCAAGCAAGAGUACAGGGUAAGAUUCAAGACGACGGUGACGGACGAUGUCGUCGGUGAUACCUCGGGGUAUUACAUGGAUAUCUUGCUGGCCUUGGUAGGGAAGGAGUGA
This 705-nucleotide ribosomal RNA is filed under the name Triticum aestivum (bread wheat). Its description in RNAcentral is "partial small subunit ribosomal RNA". The record is from RNAcentral. Lineage: Eukaryota; Viridiplantae; Streptophyta; Magnoliopsida; Poales; Poaceae.